This 478-nucleotide ribosomal RNA is filed under the name uncultured bacterium. RNAcentral describes it as "partial 16S ribosomal RNA". It matches the Rfam family "Bacterial small subunit ribosomal RNA", at positions 28 to 507 of the family's 1533-position model. The record is from RNAcentral.
GACGAACGCUGGCGGCGUGCUUAACACAUGCAAGUCGAACGUGAUCUUUGUGGAAAUUCUUUCGGGCAUGGAAAUGAAAUGAAAGUGGCGAACGGGUGAGUAACACGUGAGCAACCUACCUUACACAGGGGGAUAGCCGUUGGAAACGACGACUAAUACCGCAUGAGACCACAGAAUCGCAUGAUAUAGCGGUCAAAGAUUUAUCGGUGUAAGAGGGGGUCGCGUCUGAUUAGCUAGUUGGAAGGGGAAAGGCCUACCAAGGCGACGAUCAGCAGACGGUCAGUGAGGCACGGCGGCCACUCCGAAACUAGGACGCAGUCCAGACUCCUACGCGAGGGAGCAGAGGGGGAUAUUGCACUAUGGGGUGAACCCUGAUGGAGCGACGCCGCGUGAGCGAAGAAGGUGUUCGAGUAGUAAAGCUCUGUAAUAUGAGAAGAUAAUGACGGUAUCAUAGGAGGAAGCCCCGGCUAACUACGUG